GUUUAUUUUUAAUUAUUGAUUUAAAUUUUAUUUAUAUAAAUUAAAUUAUUAUUAUUAUUAAUUAUUUUUAUUAUUAGAAAAAAUUAUUAUUAUUUAUUUUAGUAUUGUAAAAGAAAAUUAUUAAAAUAAAUAAUUUAUAUUUUUAUGAAUUUACCUUUUGUAUCAGGGUUAUUUAAAAUUAAUAAAUUAUUUUUUAUUUCUCGAAAAAAAUAGAUUUAAUAUAUAAUAAAAUAAAUUAUUUAAUUAAUUUUUUUAAUUAUAUCUUAGAAAUUAAAUGUUUUCGAAAUUUUUGAUAUCUAGUUAUUUUAUAAAUAAAUUUAAUUUAUAAUAAUUUUAUUUUAAUAUUUAAUUUACUAAAUUUUAAAAUUAAUUUUAUUAAAUAAUUUUAGGGAUAAACUUAGAAUUAAUAUUAAUAUAAAAAAAAAAUUUUUUUUUUUUUAAAAUUAAUAAUUUUUAUAAAUUUAUAGUUUUUAAUAAUUAAUAAUUAUUAAAUUUAAUUAUUUUUUUAUUUAAUUUUUUAUAAAAUUAUUUUAGUUAAUAAAAUUUUAUUAAUAAUAAUGAUUAAAUUAGUAAAAAUUUUAUUUAUUUAUAGUUAAAUAUUUAUAUUGAUUUAAUUAAUGAAUUCGGCAAUAAUUAUUUAUUUGACUGUUUAUUAAAAACAUAGUUUAAAGAAUAUAAUUUUAAAUAUUUUCUGCUCAAUGAUUUAUUAUUAAAUAGCUGCAGUAUUUUGACUGUACAAAGGUAGCAUAAUCAUUUGGCUUUUUAUUGAAGUCUGGAAUGAAUGAAUUUACAAAAUAUAUACUUUAUAAAUUAAAUUAAAUUAAAUUUUAUUUUUAAGUUAAAAAUCUUAAAUAUAUAUAAAAGACGAGAAGACCCUAUAGAAUUUUAUAAAAUUAAAUUAAUUUUAAAUUUAAUUAAUAUUAAAUUAUUAUUUUAUUUUAUUUUAUUGGGGUUAUAAAAAAAUUUAUUUAAAUUUUUUAUUUUUUAAACAUAAAUAAAUGAAUUUAAAAAACUUUUAUUAGAAAAAUUAAAUUAAAUUACCUUAGGGAUAACAGCGUUAUAUUUUUGGAGAGAUCAUAUUGAUAAAAAUGUUUGCGACCUCGAUGUUGAAUUAAGAUAAAUUUUUAAUGAAGAUAUUAAAUUUAUUAAGUCUGUUCGACUUUUAAAAUCUUACAUGAUUUGAGUUUAAACCGGUGUGAGCCAGGUUGGAUUCUAUCUUUAUUAAAUUUAUUUAUAUUUGUACGAAAGGACUUUAUAAUACUAAUAAUUAUAAUUUUUAUUGAAUUAAUUUAAAUUA
RNAcentral lists this ribosomal RNA (1297 nucleotides) under Metaphycus eriococci. RNAcentral's name for it is "16S ribosomal RNA". The record is from RNAcentral. Lineage: Eukaryota; Metazoa; Arthropoda; Insecta; Hymenoptera; Encyrtidae.